UGUGUCACGCCUCUGUGGAGUCUGACUCAGUUUGGGUCUGACCCCUAAAAGGGAGGUGACUAGACUAGAGGGAGGGCAAGGCUGGUAGAGAUCCAUCUAACCGCUCUGCUGUGUAGAACAGAUUUUUGCGUUGAGUAGUUUUUAACUUCUACCAGGAAGUUUGGGCUAACUAUGCCUCUUCCUCUUUAACACCCAUAUGUGUGUUUUCUUGGCAGCAAUGUUCAUGGCUCCUGCUCAGAUGGCCUAUCCCACAGCUUACCCCAGCUUCUCUGGGGUUACACCACCUAACAGCAUCAUGGGCAGCAUGAUGCCCCCGCCAGUCGGCAUGGUAGCUCAGCCAGGAGCUUCUGGAAUGGUUGCCCCCAUGGCCAUGCCUGCAAGCUAUAUGGGGGGCAUGCAGGCUUCAAUGAUGGGUGUACCGAAUGGGAUGAUGACCACCCAGCAGGCAGGCUAUAUGGCAGGCAUGGCAGCUAUGCCCCAGACUAUGUAUGGGGUUCAGCCAGCUCAGCAGCUACAGUGGAACCUUACUCAGAUCCUUUCCGUGUAGAGAGGCCAGAGACAUACCUAGGCUUGCCUUUUUUUCUCUAGAAGGCCUGUUUGAAGUUAAACUUUCUUAGGAAUCCUGAGUUCCUGUGGAAUGAGACAUGUAGUCUAAAUCUGAGUCUCUCUAUAACUUCACAAAAGCAAAAACAGAGAAAGCUCUGCAGACAAACAAGGAAUACAAACCAAAUCAAGGAAUACAAACAUAACUAUGACUGUCACUGUCACAGACUUUGAAUGACAUGGCAGGAGGCGUAGAAACACCCGAAUCCGGAUGAACCAGCACCGCAGAAGGACCUGCAAAAAGAAGAGGGGGAGCAGCGGCCUAGGGGCAGCAGAGCACAGAUGAAGCCUCCUCCAGGAGGAGGGC
Molecule: long non-coding RNA, 910 nt
Filed under: Nannospalax galili (Upper Galilee mountains blind mole rat)
Lineage: Eukaryota; Metazoa; Chordata; Mammalia; Rodentia; Spalacidae
Description: lncRNA (ENSNGAG00000024627.1)
Source: RNAcentral